UGGAGCAUGUGGUUUAAUUCGAUGAUACGCGAGGAACCGUUACCUGGGCUCGAACGUAAGAUGACUGUAGGUGAAAGCUUACAUCUCUUCGGAGCAUUUUACGAGGUGCUGCAUGGUUGUCGUCAGCUCGUGCCGUGAGGUGUCGGGUUAAGUCCCAUAACGAGCGCAACCCUACCUUUAGUUGCCAUCAGGUAAUGCUGGGGACUCUAAAGGAACUGCCUACGCAAGUAGUGAGGAAGGCGGGGAUGACGUCAAAUCAGCACGGCCCUUACGUCCAGGGCUACACACGUGCUACAAUGGCCGAUACAGAGGGCAGCUACCUGGUGACAGGAUGCAAAUCUCCAAAGUCGGUCUCAGUUCGGAUCGGAGUCUGCAACCCGACUCCGUGAAGUUGGAUUCGCUAGUAAUCGCGCAUCAGCCAUGGCGCGGUGAAUACGUUCCCGGGCCUU
This 449-nucleotide ribosomal RNA is filed under the name uncultured Sphingobacteriales bacterium. RNAcentral's name for it is "bacterial SSU rRNA". It matches the Rfam family "Bacterial small subunit ribosomal RNA", at positions 933 to 1382 of the family's 1533-position model. Lineage: Bacteria; Pseudomonadati; Bacteroidota; Sphingobacteriia; Sphingobacteriales. The record is from RNAcentral.